Molecule: ribosomal RNA, 301 nt
Filed under: uncultured bacterium
Lineage: Bacteria
Description: partial 16S ribosomal RNA
Rfam family: Bacterial small subunit ribosomal RNA
Source: RNAcentral
CAGUAGCCACGGGAAUACGAAGGGGGCUAACGUUGUUCGGAAUCACUGGGCGUAAAGGGUGCGUAGGCGGGAUCUUAAGUCAGGGGUGAAAUCCCGAGGCUCAACCUCGGAACUGCCUUUGAUACUGGGGUCCUUGAGUCCGGAAGAGGUGAGUGGAACUGCGAGUGUAGAGGUGAAAUUCGUAGAUAUUCGCAAGAACACCGGUGGCGAAGGCGGCUCACUGGUCCGGAACUGACGCUGAGGCACGACAGCGUGGGGAGCAAACAGGAUUAGAUACCCGGGUAGUCCCUGUCUCUUAUAC